RNAcentral lists this long non-coding RNA (825 nucleotides) under Bos indicus x Bos taurus (hybrid cattle). Its description in RNAcentral is "lncRNA (ENSBIXG00005018940.1)". Lineage: Eukaryota; Metazoa; Chordata; Mammalia; Artiodactyla; Bovidae. The record is from RNAcentral.
CUGGCCAGAGAGAAGGCUGAGGAGCAGCCAGCAGCCUCUCCAGUUGUGAUGUGGAAUUUGAAAGAGGAUCCUGGGCCAGGGUCCACAGAAUUGCGUGUGUCCUGCACUGGGUCAUGUUAGCACAGCAUGUUUCCUCACUCUCUGGGAACCCAAACAAAGAAGAGACACCCAUGGCAACCUGAUUGCCAAGCUGUGCCUCCCUCUCAGCCCCCCAGAUCUGGUGUCAUCUUUACAGGUCCUAUCUCCUCCUCGGCAGCCUGUUCUGGAGCUGAGCAGUUCUGAUAGGUGGGUCUCCCACAACACAUGCUUCCUGAUGCAUUACCUAGUACUGUGCUCCUGGAGCAGCAGGAGGUGGUAAAAGGCAGGAGAGAAGAGUUUGGUGUGAAUGGCUGAGGAUACCAGCUUUAGAUAAGGGCUGGUGAGGGAUGGUGGGACACGAAAUGGAGAUGUACACAGAGACUGAGAGGGCGUCUACUUCAAAAAAAAAAAAAAAGAGAGAGAGAGAGAUCUGCAGCAAAUAUGGCAAAAUGUUUAGAUGAGAAAAUUGCCAUUCUCGAGACUUGCUUAUAUAUUUGGAAUACCUUAAAAGAUAGCUUUUCCCCCCAAUAUACUUUAUUAUUAUAAGAUAUUGAAUACUGAAUAUAGUUCCCUGUGCUAUUCAGUAGGAUCUUGUUGUUUAUCUAUUUUAUAGACAGUAGUGUAUCGGAGAAGGCAGUGGCACCCCACUCCGAUACUCUUGCCUGGAAAAUCGCAUGGAUGGAGGAGCCUGGUUGGUUGCAGUCCACGGGGUCGCGAAGAGACACGACUGAGUGGCUUCACUUUCAC